Molecule: non-coding RNA, 74 nt
Organism: Spirochaetes bacterium GWC1_61_12
Lineage: Bacteria; Pseudomonadati; Spirochaetota
Source: Rfam
GGGAUCAUAGCUCAACAGGAUAGAGCAGCUGCCUUCUAAGCAGCAGGUUGGGGGUUCGAGACCCUCUGGUCUCA